CUGAAACAAUGUGGUGAGGAUGUGUGACAUCACCUGAGGGAGUUGUCUCCAAAACAGGCAACCUAGGAAGAACAAAGCAGCAACACCAGCAAGAACUCAAGAUGGCAUAUAUAGUAUUCCCUCCUCCAACUGUCCCAGAACAAUCCUAUGAGGUCACCCAGUAAGCUACCAUGACCAAGGUUGGACUUGAACCUAGGUCUCUAAUGUGAUGACACAUCUUCCCACCACCAAACUGAAGACCAGAUGCUCCUACUCAUCUUCCUGAUAUUUUCAGCUCAGAUACCAUGGUUAGAAAGGUUACAGACAGCAACUCGUCUUCUCUCCUUCCACCUCUAUGGCAGUGGCCAAGUUACCUAUUAAUUUCCUUUACUUUUCAAAGGAAACUACAGACUCGUGAAUACACAGGCUUUGGAGUCCACAGUGGGGUGGAGGGGGAAAGCAGCAUUUUUAAAGCAGCGCAAGGCACCGACUAGGAUUGUCUUUUAAAUUCAGCUGCCAGAACUCUUCAGGUAAGAAGCUACAGUAAUCACUGCAAAGGGCUCCUGUUUCAGUUAAAAAAAAAAAAAAGCAGGGGAUGAG
This is a non-coding RNA of Python bivittatus (Burmese python), 579 nucleotides long. NCBI's taxonomy places the organism in Eukaryota, Metazoa, Chordata, Lepidosauria, Squamata, Pythonidae. The record is from RefSeq and is a predicted model, not a curated record.